UGGCUCCGGCAACGAUGAAGAACGCAGCGAACUGCGAUAAGUAAUGCGAAUCGCAGAGCCUUAGUGAGUCAUCGAAUUUUUGAACGCACAUUGCGCCCGCCAGUAUUCUGGCAGGCAUGCCUGUCCGAGCGUCGUUUACACAACCUUCAGGGGUCUUUUCUUUAGUGAUUAGGCGGUAAUCCUGGUGUUGGGGAAGCUCUCUAAACUUUCCUGGUCUUGCUGCCAGGGUUGAGCGCCUCUAAAACGAGUGAGCGGUUCUAUGGGGAGAAUUACUCAAGCGUAGUAAAAGACUUACAAAUCGCUUGGGAAUCAAACCUAUUAAGGAUCAGCCGUUAAAACACAUCAGAACUCACUGUUAUGGUGAGGGACGAAGACAGAUUGUCGACCUCGGAUCAGGUAGGAAUACCCGCUGA
Molecule: unclassified non-coding RNA, 413 nt
Filed under: uncultured fungus
Lineage: Eukaryota; Fungi
Description: partial contains 5.8S ribosomal RNA and internal transcribed spacer 2
Rfam family: 5.8S ribosomal RNA (bases 1-134)
Source: RNAcentral